This 254-nucleotide ribosomal RNA is filed under the name uncultured bacterium. RNAcentral's name for it is "partial 16S ribosomal RNA". It matches the Rfam family "Bacterial small subunit ribosomal RNA", at positions 524 to 777 of the family's 1533-position model. The record is from RNAcentral.
UACGAAGGGGGCUAGCGUUGCUCGGAAUCACUGGGCGUAAAGCGCACGUAGGCGGAUCUUUAAGUCAGGGGUGAAAUCCCAAGGCUCAACCUUGGAACUGCCUUUGAUACUGGGGAUCUCGAGUCCGGAAGAGGUGAGUGGAACUGCGAGUGUAGAGGUGAAAUUCGUAGAUAUUCGGAAGAACACCAGUGGCGAAGGCGGCUCACUGGCCCGUUACCGACGCUCAGGCGCGACAGCGUGGGGAGCAAACAGGG